This is a non-coding RNA of Pelobates cultripes (western spadefoot toad), 215 nucleotides long. NCBI's taxonomy places the organism in Eukaryota, Metazoa, Chordata, Amphibia, Anura, Pelobatidae. The record is from the annotation of a GenBank genome assembly.
CACCGCCGCACGGGGAGGGAGAGGUGUAGUGCGGCUGGAUGCGCGGUCAGAAUUAAAUCCGACCGCGACCUACAGCCGGAGCUUAAGAUGGCCGUUGGGGGCGUUCUGACUGGGCGCGCAUGCGCGGACGGGCCAAAUGCCGGCGAAAUUAAAGUGAUACCUGGACAGACCCUCAGACCGGCCAAGUCCCUGAAUAUCAGGGCAGUUAGAAUAAG